Molecule: ribosomal RNA, 466 nt
Filed under: uncultured bacterium
Lineage: Bacteria
Description: partial 16S ribosomal RNA
Rfam family: Bacterial small subunit ribosomal RNA
Source: RNAcentral
GACGAACGCUGGCGGCGUGCUUAACACAUGCAAGUCGAACGAUAAGACUCCGGCUUUUUGGGGUACACGAGUGGCGAACGGGUGAGUAACACGUGGGUGACCUGCCCUUCUCUUCGUGAUAUACCUGGGAGACUGCGGCUAAUACCGGAUAGGACCAUGGUGUGGAUACUGUGGAGGAAAGAUUUUUCGGUGUGGGAUGGGCCCGCGGCCGAUCAGCUUGUUGGUGGGGGAUUGGCCUACCAAGGCGGCGCCGGGUCGCCGGCAUGAGAAGGUGGACGGCCACAUUGCGCCUGAGACACGGACCAGACUCCUACGGGAGGCAGCAGUGGGGAAUAUGGCACAAUGGGCGGAAGUCUGAUGCAGCGACGUCGCGUGGGGGAUGACGGCCUUCGGGUUGUAAACUCCUUUCACCAUAGACGAAGGGUUUCUGACGGUAGAUGGAGAAGAAGCAACGGCUAACUACGUG